GUCCGCACGAGCGCACCCUUAUCCUUAGUUGCCAGCACGUAAUGGUGGGAACUCUNAGGAGACUGCCGGUGACAAACCGGAGGAAGGUGGGGACGACNUCAAGUCAUCAUGGCCCUUACGAGAUGGGCUACACACGUGCUACAAUGGCAAGUACAAAGGGUUGCAAACUCGCGAGAGUAAGCGGAUCCCAUAAAGCUUGUCGUAGUCCGGAUUGGAGUCUGCAACUCGACUCCAUGAAGUCGGAAUCGCUAGUAAUCGUGGAUCAGAAUGCCACGGUGAAUACGUUCCCGGGCCUUGUACACACCGCCCGUCACACCAUGGGAGUGGGCUGCAAAAGAAGUGGAUAGCUUAACCUUCGGGAGGGCGUUCACCACUUUGUGGUUCAUGACUGGGGUGAAGUCGUAACAAGGUGGCCGUAGGGGAACCUGCGGCUGGAUCACCUCCUU
RNAcentral lists this ribosomal RNA (446 nucleotides) under uncultured Gammaproteobacteria bacterium. Its description in RNAcentral is "bacterial SSU rRNA". It matches the Rfam family "Bacterial small subunit ribosomal RNA", at positions 1084 to 1532 of the family's 1533-position model. The record is from RNAcentral. Lineage: Bacteria; Pseudomonadati; Pseudomonadota; Gammaproteobacteria.